AGCGAACGCUGGCGGCAGGCCUAACACAUGCAAGUCGAACGAACCUUUCGGGGUUAGUGGCGGACGGGUGAGUAACACGUGGGAACGUGCCUUUAGGUUCGGAAUGACUCAGGGAAACUUGUGCUAAUACCGAAUGUGCCCUUCGGGGGAAAGAUUAAUCGCCGUUAGAGCGGCCCGCGUCUGAUUAGCUAGUUGGUUGAGGUAAUGGCUCACCAAGGCGACGAUCAGUAGCUGGUCUGAGAGGAUGAUCAGCCACAUUGGGACUGAGACACGGCCCAAACUCCUACGGGAGGCAGCAGUGGGGAAUCUUGCGCAAUGGGCGAAAGCAUGACGCAGCCAUGCCGCGUGAAUGAUGAAGGUCUUAGGAUUGUAAAAUUCUUUCAACGGGGACGAUAAUGACGGUACCCGGAGAAGAAGCCCCGGCUAACUUCGUG
Molecule: ribosomal RNA, 434 nt
Filed under: uncultured bacterium
Lineage: Bacteria
Description: partial 16S ribosomal RNA
Rfam family: Bacterial small subunit ribosomal RNA
Source: RNAcentral